CAGCAGCCGCGGUAAUACAGAGGGUGCGAGCGUUAAUCGGAUUUACUGGGCGUAAAGCGUGCGUAGGCGGCUUCUUAAGUCGGAUGUGAAAUCCCUGAGCUUAACUUAGGAAUUGCAUUCGAUACUGGGAAGCUAGAGUAUGGGAGAGGAUGGUAGAAUUCCAGGUGUAGCGGUGAAAUGCGUAGAGAUCUGGAGGAAUACCGAUGGCGAAGGCAGCCAUCUGGCCUAAUACUGACGCUGAGGUACGAAAGCAUGGGGAGCAAACAGGAUUAGAUACCCCUGUAGUCCCUGUCUCUUAUAA
RNAcentral lists this ribosomal RNA (301 nucleotides) under uncultured bacterium. RNAcentral's name for it is "partial 16S ribosomal RNA". It matches the Rfam family "Bacterial small subunit ribosomal RNA", at positions 509 to 809 of the family's 1533-position model. The record is from RNAcentral.